CAGGGCCUUUCAACAAGCCCUGGGACUGGUUAACCUCUCACUGGACAAUGCAUCCCAUUGGGGCUGAAAGGGAUAUAUUUCCCAGUGGAGAAGGAGGCUGGUCCAAACACCCUGGAGAGAGGAGAUGGGAGUCAGGCUUCCCUCACCCCCUGAGGCCUCUCCCCUCCCCUGCCUGCUCACCUUGACACGGUCGGCACUGCUGUUGAAGAGCCCAAUGCGCCGGAUCGUGUUCAGGAUGGGGUCCGUGGAGUCGUCCAGCAUAUUGUCACAAAACGCUUAGACACAGGAGUAGAGGUGGAUGUCGUUUUCUUAGAUUUUAGGAAGACCUUCAAUACCAUAUCUCAUCCCAUUCUCAUAAAUAAAUAAAGAUGCUGUGACUUAGACGAUUACACAGUCUGCUGGGUGGCAAAUUGACUUGGGGGGGUCACACCCACAGGGUGGUGUUGGACAGAUCAGUAUUAACCUGGAAGGAUAAGGACAGUGGGGUCCUGCAGGGCUUGGUUCUUGGACCUGUGCUCUUCAAUGUCUUCAUCAGUGACUUGGAUGUGGGCAUGUAGUGUACUCUGUCCAAGUUUGUGGAUGAUACUAAAU
This is a long non-coding RNA of Alligator sinensis (Chinese alligator), 591 nucleotides long. RefSeq lists it as uncharacterized. Lineage: Eukaryota; Metazoa; Chordata; Crocodylia; Alligatoridae. The record is from RefSeq and is a predicted model, not a curated record. The transcript has 3 exons.